Cygnus olor (mute swan) is the source of this 932-nucleotide long non-coding RNA. RefSeq lists it as uncharacterized. The record is from RefSeq and is a predicted model, not a curated record. Lineage: Eukaryota; Metazoa; Chordata; Aves; Anseriformes; Anatidae. The transcript is spliced from 3 exons.
GGGGACGGGACGGGACGGGCCCUCCUCCGCCGCCACACCGCGCAUGCGCCGCCGCCGGGGCGGGGCGUGCGGCCGUUACGGCGGUUGGGGCGGUUAAUGGCGCCUGAGGGCGGCGCUGUGAGGUUCGGGGCAGGUGCUGUGCGCUUCGUGCCAGCAGCAGGGAGCUGGAGGGCGCGUUGCCUGCUGGAGAUCCCAGCCCCAACCUGGCCAAGGCCAUUGGAAGCUUUUCAGAAAAUACAAACGACGGCAGGUGUGAACUCUGCAAAUAGCUGUACCAGUAGAAGCCACUGAUCAGUAGCCAAUCCUCAGAUUUUGUCACUGCACCUUGCAGAGGUUUUCUAUCUCCCACCUAAACAUUUCCUCAGGAUUGCCAAAGUGCAUGACGAAUGAUUCUUCCAGAUGCCAGCUUCUACACUGUAUCCAUGAAGAAGAAAGUGUGGAAACAAAACCUGGGGGUUUUCUCUCCGAUGGUCUGAUCACCAACAUCCAAUAAAAUCAAUAAGCCUGUCCAGGCUUUUAAUCACUUCUGUUCACUGCAUAGCUUUUCAUUCCUUAAGCAAGAUUUGCAGAGGAUUGAUAAGAGAUUCCUUUUAGCUUAAUUUUUGUCAACAUCAUUUUCAUUAUGUGUACUGGUUUUGGCUGGGAUAGGGCUAAUUUUCUUCAUAGUAACUGGUAUAGUGCUGUUUUAGAUCUGUGACCCAAACAGUAUUGGUAACACACCGAUGUUUCAGUUGUUGCUGAGCAGUGCUUGAGUCAAGGACUCUUCUGUUUCUCACACUGCCCAACCAGCGACCAGGCUGGGGGUGCACCAGGAGUUGGGGGGCAACACAGCCAGGACAGCUGGCCCAGUCUGGCUGAAGGGAUGUCCUACACCAUGUGGCAUCAUGCUCAGCAACAAAAGCUGGGGGAAAGAAGAAAGAGGGGAUCCUUCA